ACUCCUACGGGAGGCAGCAGUGGGGAAUAUUGCACAAUGGGGGAAACCCUGAUGCAGCAACGCCGCGUGAAGGAUGAAGGUUUUCGGAUUGUAAACUUCUUUAGUCAGGGACGAAUAAAUGACGGUACCUGAAGAAUAAGCCACGGCUAACUACGUGCCAGCAGCCGCGGUAAUAC
RNAcentral lists this ribosomal RNA (176 nucleotides) under uncultured bacterium. RNAcentral describes it as "partial 16S ribosomal RNA". It matches the Rfam family "Bacterial small subunit ribosomal RNA", at positions 335 to 526 of the family's 1533-position model. The record is from RNAcentral.